AGAAAUCAACUUGAAGUUCAUCGAUUCAACGCGUGUUAGCACUGUGAGGAUUAAUCAUUCCGUUAUGUUGACUUUCGAAAUAAAAGUUACCAGUCCCCUUUCUUCUUCGAAACUUGUGUGUCAGACCAAUUUGAAAUCUAACUUGUCUUCUUUUCAGCCAUAACAAUCUUGUCUUUCUUCCCAGUCUGUCAAGUCGCAAUUUUUCACUCUACAUUUGCAUUGCAGGCCAAUCUCCGAACGAGAAGUUUUCUACUAUUGACUUCACCGCCUCGUCAAACUUGAACCUUUUAAAUACAAACGUGCAAAAUGCCGGGAGAAACUCUAACGACGAACCGUUACGAUUGAUUAACAUUCGUUUGUAUACCGACCGUAUCUUUUGGCCUAAUUAAGUUUGUGAAUCACGUAGCUUAUUGCGGUGACAAAAUUCACUGUCCGGAUCGACGACCCAUUGUUUCACUUGUGGGACGAGCGGAAUAAUUAUCACGUAGCCGUUUCAAUACGGGCCUAACAGGUGUGAACAAAUGGGAACAACGAUCCAUGAAUUCAUGUAACUGGUUGAACACAACUAGAAACCGGGAUUAUAGAGGUGUUACAUAGCAGGAAAAAUGCUAAUUACAUAAUCAGACAAGGAUCGAGAUACACAUGCACACGCUAAUGCAGCGGCAGGGUAACGAGGCAAAUUUCUUUCAGAGACGCGGCAUUUCCCUCUCUGCGCCGUACGGCCGUUCGAAGCCCGUGGAUAAUCUGAUUAAUAUCCUCGAACGGAAAGAUUUAUACACCGGAAUUAUGAUCCAUGGGCGGAAUGAAAAAACUCAAUCCUGUUCUCGGCUUUGGAACGUGGGUGUUGAGUACUCGGAUUUGACCACGAAAAAUGAGAAAUCGAUUCCUUAUGCCUCGUGGAGCAAGUAUUGGAUUGAUGGAAAAUAUGGAAACAUCCAUAAUGAAUUAUUGAAUUUUGGCUACUCGGAUCAAGUUCUGCGAAUUGGGAAACUGUUUCUUUCGCAGUGCUUCAGGGCUCGAAGUCUGAACAUUGAGGAGUUUGAAAUUGAAUAUUCUUGAUUAUGCGAACAAUUUCCAAAGGUAAUCAGAAGAUCCUGUUUGCGAGUUUCUCGAGGUGUCAAUUUUACGGAAACGAAGUCGCCGAAUCGUGCCAUACGAGGCUUUGACUCGAUGCCAAGGAUGCAGGAAGAGAAGAGAAUGAAAGGGAAAAAAUGGUCGCACCUCAUAACUCAGCAUUCUACGAAUCAAUUGAGAUCAUUUUUUCUAGACAGUUGGAUUCUGGAAAGUAUAGAGAAGAAAUCCGAAACAGGAAACAACCAACAGUUGAAGAAACGCGAGAAAAAAAAACGGUAAAAAUCGAUGUUCUUUUAAUUUUAAUACACGUCAGAUAUAAUAAACUCAAUGCAAACCAAACAUCACACAUCGUUCCUGCAGAGGGGUGUUGUUGCUGUACGCAGGCCAGAACCUAAAACACAUUUCAAAACUGUAACAAUACAGUGAAAUUUCCAAACAGCGGAUAUCUUCGUGACUAAAAAUAUUGACCGUUAUUAAGGAUUGUCCGCUAUUCAGAACAAUAUUGACGUGUACUCAUGGAGACUUUUCGUCUGUUCGUUGUGAGCAUAACUCCGUUGUUGGGAGAUAUCCGUUGAGAGAAGUUUUACUGUAAGUAUUUCAUUUAGUAUUUUCCGUGUCCUACUUGAGACAAUGUAUAUUAAAACUUAUUUGCACAUAUAAUGAUUAGAUUUCUUGCAUAAGGUUUGAUCGAAUUCGUGCAGGCCUCUAUGUCUUUCGCUUGAUUUCUAUUGGUCAGUAUGUUGAAUUACUACACACUUACGCCGAAACAUUUGUACUAUAAUAAGAGCAUAAU
Neodiprion fabricii is the source of this 1867-nucleotide long non-coding RNA. RefSeq lists it as uncharacterized. The record is from RefSeq and is a predicted model, not a curated record. The transcript is spliced from 6 exons. Lineage: Eukaryota; Metazoa; Arthropoda; Insecta; Hymenoptera; Diprionidae.